ACGAAUUAGAAAAUUAUAUAAAUUAAAUCAAACACCUGCUUCAUAAAAGCGUCCGCGACUGUAAUUGAAACAUGCACUAUCUUCAACUUUACAUACACUCGUACAACAUUUCAGAUAGAGAAUAAAUUUCAAAUGAUUCAAUAGAAAGACAGAUAGCACAUCCCCAAACCGGUCAGGCGUCUACCAGGUUUCUUAUCCCAUCCGCAUACAAGGAGCAAAACCCAUAUAAACGCACACUUUCAAAGCAUCAUGUCAUCUCGAACCAUAUCCUAACUCUGGUACCGGGUGGAUGGUCCAUUAGUGUUGGGUUAGGACACUAUAAGUUGAUUUAAUGUGCCGGCACUGUUCACUCCUACAUACAUAUACUCGUAGUAUACCCCAUUUCCUACCCUUUCUAUACCCCCAAAACGCCACAACUUUCUUUUCUUCUUCUUUAGCUUGUUCUUCUUCAUGAUUGUAAUGUCCGUUGAGCACAAUUACAUAUGGACUUGGACAUAUUAUUAUUCUUCAAAAAAAGUUUUGGGAUUUUCUUUUGAGAUAUGUACGAAUACGAAUACGAAUCCUUGCAAGGAUACUUAUUUUACUUCGUCAUGUUGUUCGCAUAAGACACGAGAGUAGCAGAGAGGGUGAGAGGAGUACGAAGAAAGUUUUUGUGUAUUCUUAUAACCCCCUUCUUAUGCGGGACCAGGCCAUAACUCAUCCAUCAAUUUUCACUUGCCGUACAAGCACCCACAUAAUACACACAUCCUUUCGUCCUUUUUUUUUGUCUCCUUUCGCACGCAGAACACAUUCUAUUCCGUAAGUUGUGUAAUGCUAGAGAGAGUUAUUGGCCCUAUGGCUAGUCGUAGGCAUUUUCCGAUUUAACCAUCAGUACACUAAACAUUUUCACUAUACUAUCCUUUGAAGAGGGUUCGAGAAUUUAGUUGUUGGGUUUGGUGAGGUCCGAGAGGCGAGUGUAAAGGCGGGAAGCUGAAGUUUGGUUUGCGAAAACCUAAAACGGGAUGUAGGAACUUUGAAGGACAUGUGCGAUGGCGGCCGACCACCCGUCCUCUCACCAUACCAUGCCGCCGGAAGGUCGGGAAAUUGGACCAAAAGGACUUCUUCUCUAUCAUCACACACAUCCUUCUAAGUAAACCAUUUUUCGCAAGGUUUUGGAAUGCAGGAGCUAGAGAUGGAUAACAAGAAUGUCAUGUCCUUUUAGAAAUAAUAAGAAAGGACUAACUAAAUCCGGGUAACACUUCGAUGUAGCUUCAAAAAUGCCUGUGGAAGCUUAUUCCCAACACAAUUUCCUUCGAUAUUGUUUCACAAAAUUAUAUAAACAAUUAUUUUGUUUUUAAAUCUUAUAAUGUGGUUGGAGAUAUUCAGCUUAACGGUCUACUGAUGGAAUUUUAUAAAGGACUAUCUUUAGCUCCGAAAUUCCAAUUACAAAAUUAUAAAAGUGAAAUUCUAUAAAACCACAAUAAAUAAAUAAAUUAGGUGGCGCAACAGUCCAUGAAGAACCAGGUCCUAGUGACUUACAACUCUCAACCAUUCCUGUGUGCGAGUAAUGUUGUCAGAGAUAGAAGGGACCUACAGUUUAUAUGCCGAAUCCGAACGGUUAAUUUGAGAAAGCACUUUUCAUGACAAGAAUUACUCUUGAAGGAUUUGUCAAUUCCUAGCAAGAGGCAGUACCCGCGAAAACUUGUUUUUUUUUUUUAAAGUAAGGUGGCACAGGCAGGGAUUGUACCCAAGACCUAUUGCAUGACAGUCCAACGCACUAACCAUCACGCCACGGGUACUAAAGGUUACGUCUAAAAUGGGAAAAUCCAUAGAAUUUAAAUUGCCAUUUGGUUCGGUCGUGUAGCAAUUACUGAUUACUUUCAUUCAAAGUAAUUUCGUUACACUAUUAAUUUAUCAAAAUAUUUGAUAAAAUUUCAAGUUUGAAAAGAAAUACAGGAUUCGAAGGACAUUGAACGACAACGUCUUGGA
This is a long non-coding RNA of Eupeodes corollae, 1968 nucleotides long. RefSeq lists it as uncharacterized. The record is from RefSeq and is a predicted model, not a curated record. The transcript is spliced from 3 exons. Lineage: Eukaryota; Metazoa; Arthropoda; Insecta; Diptera; Syrphidae.